This 62-nucleotide microRNA precursor is filed under the name Tribolium castaneum (red flour beetle). RNAcentral's name for it is "Tca-Mir-7_pre stem-loop". The record is from RNAcentral. Lineage: Eukaryota; Metazoa; Arthropoda; Insecta; Coleoptera; Tenebrionidae.
UGGAAGACUAGUGAUUUUGUUGUUCUAAUUUUUACGUAACAAGGAAUCACUAAUCAUCCCAC